AGCGAACGCUGGCGGCGUGCCUAACACAUGCAAGUCGAACGGGAAGGGCUCCGGCCUUGUACCGUGGCGCACGGGUGAGUAACACGUGGGUAAUCUACCUUCGAAUGGGGGAUAACCAACCGAAAGGUUGGCUAAUACCGCAUAAGACCACGGUUUCGAAAAGAGACAGGGGUCAAAAGGCCUGAGGGCCGUUUGAAGAUGAGCCUGCGUCCCAUCAGCUAGUUGGCAGGGUAAUGGCCUACCAAGGCUUAGACGGGUAGCUGGUCUGAGAGGAUGAUCAGCCACACUGGAACUGAGACACGGUCCAGACUCCUACGGGAGGCAGCAGUGGGGAAUAUUGCGCAAUGGCGAAAGCCUGACGCAGCAACGCCGCGUGGGUGAUGGAGGCCUCGGUGUAAGACCGUGUCGGUGGACGAACAAGGUCCGU
RNAcentral lists this ribosomal RNA (427 nucleotides) under uncultured bacterium. Its description in RNAcentral is "bacterial SSU rRNA". It matches the Rfam family "Bacterial small subunit ribosomal RNA", at positions 29 to 456 of the family's 1533-position model. The record is from RNAcentral.